GAUGAACGCUGGCGGCGUGCCUAAUACAUGCAAGUCGAACGAAACUUCUUUAUCACCGAGUGCUUGCACUCACCGAUAAAGAGUUGAGUGGCGAACGGGUGAGUAACACGUGGGCAACCUGCCCACAAGAGGGGGAUAACACUUGGAAACAGGUGCUAAUACCGCAUAACCAUAGUUACUGCAUGGUAACUAUGUAAAAGGUGGCUAUACUACCGCUUUUGGAUGGGCCCGCGGCGCAUUAGCUAGUUGGUAGGGUAAAGGCUUACCAAGGCAAUGAUGCGUAGCCGAAUUGAGAGGUGGGUCGGCCACAUUGGGACUGAGACACGGCCCAAACUCCUACGGGAGGCAGCAGUAGGGAAUCUUCCACAAUGGGCGAAAGCCUGAUGGAGCAACGCCGCGUGGGUGAAGAAGGUCUUCGGAUCGUAAAACCCUGUUGUUAGAGAAGAAAGUGCGUGAGAGUAACUGUUCACGUUUCGACGGUAUCUAACCAGAAAGCCACGGCUAACUACGUG
This 512-nucleotide ribosomal RNA is filed under the name uncultured bacterium. RNAcentral describes it as "partial 16S ribosomal RNA". It matches the Rfam family "Bacterial small subunit ribosomal RNA", at positions 28 to 507 of the family's 1533-position model. The record is from RNAcentral.